UUUCCAGACUCCUACGGGAGGCAGCAGUGAGGAAUAUUGGUCAAUGGGCGCGAGCCUGAACCAGCCAAGUCGCGUGAGGGAAGACGGUCCUAUGGAUUGUAAACCUCUUUUGUCGGGGAGCAAAAGACGCCACGCGUGGCGUUCCGAGAGUACCCGAAGAAAAAGCAUCGGCUAACUCCGUGCCAGCAGCCGCGGUAAUACGGAGGAUGCGAGCGUUAUCCGGAUUUAUUGGGUUUAAAGGGGGCGGUGGCGGGGAGGUAAGUCCGCGGUAAAAUUGCGGGGCUCAACCCCGGCGAGCCGUUGAAACUGGCUUGCUAGAGUGGGCGAGAAGUAUGCGGAAUGCGUGGUGUAGCGGUGAAAUGCAUAGAUAUCACGCAGAACUCCGAUUGCGAAGGCAGCAUACCGGCGCCCUACUGACGCUGAGGCACGAAAGCGUGGGUAUCGAACAGGAUUAGAUACCCCCGUAUGU
RNAcentral lists this ribosomal RNA (469 nucleotides) under uncultured bacterium. RNAcentral's name for it is "bacterial SSU rRNA". It matches the Rfam family "Bacterial small subunit ribosomal RNA", at positions 328 to 794 of the family's 1533-position model. The record is from RNAcentral.